ACAUACUUACCCACAAAGAGUCAUCACAAACAAAUCUUCACUCUGUAGACUAAUACUACAAUCCACCACCAAUCACUACAACAUUCACCCUCCAACUUUACCAUAUUUACAGACUUGUAUUAUCUUUAACUAAUUGUGACCAACAUUGUCUUCAUUGUAACUGUCCGUGACUAUAUCAAUCUAAUUUAUGACUGUACCAAUUAACAUAUUUCUGAUCACAAAUAGUCAUAGUAAAGAUAAAUUUGAUCACACAUGAUUUUCGUCAUCACUGCCACCACUCCCAACAACAUCAACCAAAUGUGCACCCAUAGCACGUACACCCACCACCAUUGCAUCCAACCACACACCACAUAUGCACAACUGGUCAAACACUACUACACACCGACAAAGCCAUUACCACGCCGCCAACAACACUGCACCCACACCCACUACCACUACAUCCAACCACACCAUUAUCUCACCACCACUGGCACGCCCAAAAACCCCAUGUCGGCAUCGAAGAAUUGCAGCGUCGCGACGAAGGACUACAACGUCGACAGGAAGGACUGCAGCGCGACGAAGGACUGUACGCACCAGUUGGCGUCGAAUGACUGCAACGUUGUCGUUCAUCGUUUACAGAAUUGGAAUUAGCGUUGCCCGAUGACGCUUCUGAGAAAUCUCAGCAACCCCCCCCCAUGCCAGCAGUGUCGUCUAGCACAUCUCCUUCGUCGCUGGGUGCCGGAGAUCGAAGAGCCCAUACGGAUGGAGCCAUCGAGGAUCGAAUAGGUUGGACAGGGAUGAGAUGAGGUGAGGUGAGGUGAGGUGAGGUGAGGUUUGAAAGAGAGAGAAAUACGGAAUAGGUUGGGUAGGGGUUGGGUUAUAUAUGUAUAUUAG
This 873-nucleotide long non-coding RNA is filed under the name Olea europaea subsp. europaea. Lineage: Eukaryota; Viridiplantae; Streptophyta; Magnoliopsida; Lamiales; Oleaceae. The record is from RNAcentral.